This 468-nucleotide ribosomal RNA is filed under the name uncultured bacterium. RNAcentral's name for it is "partial 16S ribosomal RNA". It matches the Rfam family "Bacterial small subunit ribosomal RNA", at positions 28 to 507 of the family's 1533-position model. The record is from RNAcentral.
GACGAACGCUGGCGGCGUGCUUAACACAUGCAAGUCGAACGGAAAGGCCCUGCUUUUGUGGGGUGCUCGAGUGGCGAACGGGUGAGUAACACGUGAGUAACCUGCCCUUGACUUUGGGAUAACUUCAGGAAACUGGGGCUAAUACCGGAUAGGAGCUCCUGCUGCAUGGUGGGGGUUGGAAAGUUUCGGCGGUUGGGGAUGGACUCGCGGCUUAUCAGCUUGUUGGUGGGGUAGUGGCUUACCAAGGCUUUGACGGGUGGCCGGCCUGAGAGGGUGACCGGCGACAUUGGGACUGAGAUACGGCACAGACUCCUACGGGAGGCAGCAGUGGGGAAUAUUGCACGAUGGGCGGAAGCCUGAUGCAGCAACGCCGCGUGCGGGAUGACGGCCUUCGGGUUGUAAACCGCUUUCGCCUGUGACGAAGCGUGAGUGACGGUAAUGGGUAAAGAAGCACCGGCUAACUACGUG